RNAcentral lists this long non-coding RNA (875 nucleotides) under Cavia porcellus (domestic guinea pig). RNAcentral's name for it is "lncRNA (ENSCPOG00000038911.1)". Lineage: Eukaryota; Metazoa; Chordata; Mammalia; Rodentia; Caviidae. The record is from RNAcentral.
GUUAAAAAAUAAUGGUUCUAUUUGAUGUUGUAAGAUGUUUGAUAUUUAGAUAAGAUGAUAAUGUUAUGCUUACUGCCUCUACUGUAUUGUACUGUUAUCAGUCUUUUCUUCUGUAUGUUCAACAACUGGGACCAACAAUUAGAGAGAGAUGGCCUAAGAGGACAACCAAUAUUUUGGCCUUAACCCUCCAAGAUCAGUGCAAAUUCAGGACACAGGAGAAACUCUGCUGCGUCAUCCUAUACUCGUUGAAUUCCUCCAAGAACAUAAGAUCUGAGUCUUUAGCAGUUUGUGUGCCAGCCUGGAACUAUCCCUGCGAAAGCCUCCAUGACUGUGGACCCUUUAAAAGCUACAAGUGGCUUGGAUUUGGAGACGCCUGAUAAGAAGUGUGAGAUUCAUGCCAGGAAGACCCAAGGGUCAGCGGUGGAAGCCAGAAAGUCCAUGCCAGCAGGAUGAAGGAGCUGUGCUAGUGGGAUGAGGGUUCUACACUGGAGCCGAGAAGUCACACUCACAACAAAGAGCGGGGCUGUCCUGAAAGGAACCACAGCUGUCCUCAGCGACACGGAGGCCCCGAGCUCCUCCGACGACAAGCACAGUCGGGAACAUGCCAGGAAGCAGCCUGAGGAGUUCACCCUGGAGGCCAGGCAGCACAUGUCUUCCUCUCCAGAGCCAGGAAGCAAUGCUCGAUGUGAAGACCAAAGCUUCUCCAGGAGAACCAACAGCUCAGACAGCAACUUGUAGGAGAACUAACAAUGCCUCCAUAACGCCUCAAUCCCUCUCCUCACCUCUCUUCUUCUCCACCUAUUUAUCAUGGCAACCCUUCUCAGGUGGAGCAUCUUCUCUCAAUGCUUGCUGAUGCAUUCCAGCUGGCAAUUAAG